Molecule: non-coding RNA, 68 nt
Filed under: Aurantiochytrium limacinum
Lineage: Eukaryota; Bigyra; Thraustochytrida; Thraustochytriidae
Source: RNAcentral
CUUUUAAUCUCUUUUUUUAACCUCUUUUUCAAUUUAUUAUAAAAGAAAAGAAAAGAAAAGAAAAGAAA